RNAcentral lists this ribosomal RNA (459 nucleotides) under uncultured bacterium. RNAcentral's name for it is "partial 16S ribosomal RNA". It matches the Rfam family "Bacterial small subunit ribosomal RNA", at positions 338 to 795 of the family's 1533-position model. The record is from RNAcentral.
CCUACGGGUGACAGCAGUGAGGAAUAUUGGUCAAUGGGCGCGAGCCUGAACCAGCCAAGUCGCGUGAGUUCAGACGUUCCUCUUUCUUUUCAACCUCUUUUGUCGGGGAGCAAAAGACGCCACGCGUGGCGUUCCGAGAGUACCCGAAGAAAAAGCAUCGGCAAACUCCGUGCCAGCAGCCGCGGUAAUACGGAGGAUGCGAGCGUUAUCCGGAUUUAUUGGGUUUAAAGGGUGCGUAGGCGGAAUGCCAAGUCAGCGGUAAAAUCGCGGGGCUCAACCUCGCUCCGCCGUUGAAACUGGCGUUCUUGAGUGGGCGAGAGGUAUGCGGAAUGCGUGGUGUAGCGGUGAAAUGCAUAGAUAUCACGCAGAACUCCGAUUGCGAAGGCAGCAUACCGGCGCCCAACUGACGCUGAAGCACGAAAGCGUGGGUAUCGAACAGGAUUAGAUACCCUAGUAGUC